Apis dorsata (giant honeybee) is the source of this 523-nucleotide long non-coding RNA. RefSeq lists it as uncharacterized. Lineage: Eukaryota; Metazoa; Arthropoda; Insecta; Hymenoptera; Apidae. The record is from RefSeq and is a predicted model, not a curated record. The transcript has 3 exons.
GUCCAUCUUCUUUUUGUUCUAGUGUUUCUUGUUUGUCGAUCAUUUUAUUUCGUAAAUGGGAUUUCAUUGAUUCAUCUUGAGAAUUUUGAUUGUUAAUUAACAGUGUACAAUGUCAUCAGUAUGGUCACGGAAAAUGGCGGUGCAAGACGAGUUUCCUUGAAAGUGGAUAUCCAAUCCUGUUUUCCGCCCGUGAAAAUCAAGUUUAAAGAUUCAGGAGCGCGGUAUGGCUCGCGUAAAACUUUAAGUGUACAUUGAGACUGGACGAGAAGACAGGCGGGAAUCGUGGAACGAAACAUUUGGAGAUUGCAACUCGACGAAUAAUCAAACUCUGGAUUGGUAGUCGAAAAGCAGAUUUAUUCGAAAGCAACGAUGCGACGUCGUUUCGUUUGAAAUCCCUCUUACGUUUGCUCCAAAGAGAGUUGAACUUCUUCCACUGUGAUUUUCUUUUAGUCCUCAGCAGCCUGUUAAAGUGAGGUACAGUACUUAUCCUUAUCGGACGAGUGGUAGAAGGGUAAUUUCACUA